RNAcentral lists this unclassified non-coding RNA (154 nucleotides) under uncultured Pleosporales. RNAcentral describes it as "sequence contains ITS2". The record is from RNAcentral. RNAcentral also lists the same sequence under 1 other name. Lineage: Eukaryota; Fungi; Ascomycota; Dothideomycetes; Pleosporales.
ACACCCUCAAGCUCUGCUUGGUGUUGGGCGUCUGCCCCGCCUUCGCGCGCGGGCUCGCCUCAAAGUCAUUGGCAGCGGUCUCGCCGGCUUCUCGCGCAGCACAUUUGCGCUUCUCGGAGCCCCGGCGGAUCGGCGUCCAGCAAGCACUUCUAUG